Small nucleolar RNA from Loxodonta africana (African savanna elephant), 129 nucleotides. Ensembl annotates it as small nucleolar RNA SNORA3/SNORA45 family. Its record names the gene SNORA3A. NCBI's taxonomy places the organism in Eukaryota, Metazoa, Chordata, Mammalia, Proboscidea, Elephantidae. The record is from Ensembl.
GUUGAGGCUAGAGUCACACUUGGGUAUUGGUAUUGCCUUAGUGUGCUAGAGUCCUCAAAGAGUAAUUGCUGACCUUAUUCACUGGCUGUAGUCAUUGUGGUACAGUCAGUCACCAGGUUAGCGACAUGC